RNAcentral lists this long non-coding RNA (1298 nucleotides) under Vulpes vulpes (red fox). RNAcentral's name for it is "lncRNA (ENSVVUG00000021703.1)". The record is from RNAcentral. Lineage: Eukaryota; Metazoa; Chordata; Mammalia; Carnivora; Canidae.
CAUGGACAGGAAACAGACUCAGCUACUAUCUGCUUACCUUGUCCGAGAAUAAAUUAGGUGAUUUACUCUGAGUAUCCAGCACUUGCAGGGAGCUGUGCAGUUCACAUCUGCCCCGAAGUCUCUUUGUCUUUUUAUAAAGAGAAAAAGGGGUUGCGAGUAAAUAGUUUCAGAGCCUGCUGACCACCAGCCUGUGUCUUAGCUGGCAUGUGUCACUAGCGGAAUGAGUGAGUUACUCAGUGAUCUCAUAAGUAGUUAUUGUAUCUCUAUUAUGUGCUGGUAACCACUCUAGGCACUUCCCAUAAAGAACCUUAUAUUCAAGUGCACCUGUUGCAUAAAAAUUUUCCCAGAUCUGUCACUUUUUAAAACCUUUUCACUUUACAGUAAUUUUAUGUGCACAGAAGAGUUGCCAAAAUAGUGGCCAGCGUUCCCCAUGCUGUCACUUGUUUCUCUACUGUCAACAUCUCAGAAAACCACAGCACUGUGAUCAAAAUGAAGACAUUUGCAUCGGGGCGAUACUAAGUAAACGACAGAUUCCAGACGGCACAGCACAUUGCUGCAGUUCUACAUGGAGGACCACGUUGGAAGUGUUUCUUAUGGUUGUCCUUGAUUUAUUGUACAAAGGCUGCCUGCAUGUCCACCCUCUGUCUGUGGAAAUGAAGCAUAAGCACCAGAGGAGAUCAGAGUUAUCGUUUCAGUUGACAUCUGUAAUUGGCUGCAGGACUGGCACACAUUUGAGCUUCCCAACAAACGAAGUCAUCAGGGCAAUGUAUAGCAAACUUAAGUGUGCACGUGAUUAAAAACGACCUGGAAGUUUGCUGGAAGAAAUCAGAUGGACAUGGACACUUGUGUUCAAAACCCAAACUUAUGCCCUAUAAUUUCCUAAAGUACACAGGAUAACAAGCACCCUCUCGCAGCAAGGCAGUCCAACAACUCAAGAGAACAAUCCAUAAAAGAGAUUUUUUGAGGUACAAAGUUAAGUGAAGGCUAGAAAACCACAUUUCUGGUCACUUAGAUUGACUGCAGGACAAUAGUCAGACUAGCUCAUAUGUUGAGAAUAACUGUGCAAGAACCGAGGCAUGAUCACGGCUGUUUGAGGUUGCAAGUGGUGGUGGCGUUGGCAUCGGCGGGGAGGGAUGGUUGAGUCAGGUAAAUGGAGUGAAGUGGUACCAAUGUCCAGUUGUAAAAUGGGCAAGUUCCAGGGAUAAAGAGUACAGCACAGGCAGUACAACCAGUAAUAUUGUCAUAAUGUGCGGCGACAGACAGGGACGAGGCUUCUGAGCUGAGCACAUGUAUAGAAU